AAUGAAGAACGUAGCGAAAUGCGAUACUUGGUGUGAAUUGCAGAAUCCCGUGAACCAUCGAGUCUUUGAACGCAAGUUGCGCCCGAAGCCAUCAGGUUGAGGGCACGUCUGCCUGGGCGUCACAUAUCGUUGCCCAAUGCCUAUUGCAGUGCAAUAGGAAUUUCUAGGGCGAAUGAUGGCUUCCCGUGAGCGUUGUUGCCUCGCGGUUGGUUGAAAAUCGAGUCCUUGGUAGGGUGUGCCAUGGUAGAUGGUGGUCGAGUUAGAACGAUACCGAUCAUGUGCAUGCUCCCCAAAAUAUGGCCUCUAUGACCCACACGCGUCUUUUGACGCUCAUGACGAGACCUCAGGUCAGGCGGGGCUACCCGCUGAAUUUAAGCAUAUCAAUAAGCGGAGGA
This 395-nucleotide unclassified non-coding RNA is filed under the name soil metagenome. RNAcentral describes it as "partial contains 5.8S ribosomal RNA, internal transcribed spacer 2, and large subunit ribosomal RNA". The stretch from base 2 to 122 matches the Rfam family "5.8S ribosomal RNA", at positions 36 to 154 of the family's 154-position model. The record is from RNAcentral.